Long non-coding RNA from Cyprinus carpio (common carp), 907 nucleotides. NCBI's taxonomy places the organism in Eukaryota, Metazoa, Chordata, Actinopteri, Cypriniformes, Cyprinidae. The record is from Ensembl.
UUAAUUGAAUAUAUAUUAGUGCUGUCAAAUGGUUAAUCGCAUCCAAAAUAAGUUUUUGUUUAAGUAAUAUAUUUAUGUGCACUUUGUUUAUUUGUUAUGUAUACAUAAAUACAAACACAUGCAUGUACAUAUUUAAAAAAAAAAAAAAAAGUUUAUAAAUUAAAUAUAUUUAUAUAAAACAUAAAAAUAUAAAUGUAUACAUGUAAAUAUUUUCAAAAUAUAUACUGACUGUGUGUAUUUAUAUAUAUAUGUAAUAAAUAAAUAUUGCACAUUUUAGAUUAUAUAAUCUGAUUAUUUUUUGAUCUAGAAAGAAAAAAUCUAGAACUGGAAAAAAUGCUGAAGAUCUGUAUCUUUGGUUUGCUUCCCAACUGACAUCUGCUUAUUGGAAUGUGUGAGGGACAAAAACAUUCUAAUCCCUGUAAAUUCAUCUGACAGUCAUGCUUUCCUUCCCAUGUAGGUCAAGCCACGGAACCUGAAAGCAGAUGAUUCAGAGAAAAUGAUUUAACUCUUUAGAAUCUCACAAACACUCCUGAGGGUAAGACUCAUACACCGUCACCACACAUCUGCUUCUUUCAGUUGGAAAGCUUUGAAUUUCUUUUACUAAUAAUUUUUUGGUCAUUGAAGUCCAUCUGCACUUGCUGUCAGUCAUUCUAAUAGUAUUGUAUGGGCCAGUCUAGAUGUUACAUUGGAUGUCUUAUUGCCCCUUAGAUGAAACUGGACGAAAUUAAAUGUGCCUAUGAGGUUGUAGACAGUGCUGGUGCAGAGCAAGCAAGAAUUGGAAUCACACGUAGCACAAGGAGUUGACAUCAACAGUACUGAACUGAGAACAGGGAACACUAUUUAUCCACAUGACAAGACGAGGGGAUGACGAGACACACCUGGGAUCAAUAGAAAUAAACGGGGAACA